GAUGAACGCUGACAGCAUGCUUAACACAUGCAAGUCGAUGGGGAAGUGGUGCUUGCACCAUGGCAACCAUGGCGGACGGGUGAGUAACGCGUAAGGGACUUACCUGCAGGACUGGGAUAACAGGGGGAAACUCCUGACAAGACCGGAUAAUGUCAUGGCGCUGCAUGGCUUUUUGAUGAAAGGAGACGCCUGCGGAGAGCCUUGGGUCCUAUUAGCUAGUUGGUGAGGUAAUGGCUCACCAAGGCGAGGAUAGGUAGCCGGCCUGAGAGGGUGGACGGCCACAAGGGGACUGAGAUACGGCAGUUACGCCUACGGGAGGAAGCAGGGGGGAAUAUUGGACAAUGGGGGCAACCCUGAUGCAGCAAUUCUGUGUGCACGAAGAAGGUUUUCGGAGUGAAAAGUGCUUUCAGCAGGGAAGAAGUAAGUGACGGUACCUGCAGAAGAAGCGACGGCUAAAUACGUG
This 463-nucleotide ribosomal RNA is filed under the name uncultured bacterium. RNAcentral's name for it is "partial 16S ribosomal RNA". It matches the Rfam family "Bacterial small subunit ribosomal RNA", at positions 28 to 507 of the family's 1533-position model. The record is from RNAcentral.